UCUGCACUCAGCUUUGCAGUCUCCAAUGUCAUUGAUAUCAUGCAGCUAGUUGCUCAUACUGUUUCAAUUUUUGCACAUUCCUUCACUUUUUCCGGACAAGGUCGCAUCCUAACUGAACGUUAACAGUGAGUGUUUCUGAGCGUCUGCCCCUACCCCCUUGUUUAGCAUAAUUGUAUGAUCCUAAUCUGUCUUGGCACUUAACUGGCUACAUGGUUUGGCCAUCAAAAUAAAAUCCUACCCCUGCCAGCAGGGGAUAUUCAGCAGAGGUGAUCAUGAGAGCAAAAAAUCUGAUUUAAAGCCCGCUCGUUCAUAAACAACACGUCACUUGUAACAUGAGGGGAAAAUGCUGCAGUGCUAGAGCUGCAAUCUGUCUGACUGCAGGAGAAGAGCCUCUCUGAAGAGGUGUCUGAGCCCAACAACAACAUCCUGGUCAACACAACAAGAAAGGUGCCUUCCAAUCUCACUGGCUCCAGGCUGGAUUCACCACUGGAUCACUGAGGCUCAUGAUGUAUUGGUUUGGCAAAACUGCAGAUGACUUGUAUGUUCAGAAAUGUAUAACAGAGUUUUAGCAAAUAAGAGGACAUAACAAACAUGGCUGUCUAUAGUUGCUUACUGUAUCGUUAAUAGCUUAGCUAAUGGAGCUCUAAUUCGAAAUGUUAUCCAGAGCAGCCAUGUUAGUUGGGUGUUUUACUCUUUAUAUCCAAGUUGCUAAACAUUACUUUAAAACAGGCAUCUGCUGAAACUCUAUUCAUUUCAAAUGUGUCACAUCGGGAGAAAAACUAAAUGUGGUAUAAUGUACUUCUCCUCGCUUAGCCAUGCUCGUUUAUCCAAUUUGAUCCUCUGUAAUACUUUAGAAAGUUUACAUCAGUCAAUGCAAAAAUAUUAAUUAAGAUUAACUGAAGUUUUCUUGUCUUUUCCUUCAGUGUUCUCUCUUAUCCAUGUACAUACUUAGAAGUCAAAUUGUUACAAGAUCCAUGAAAUGCUAAACCAACUCGGAGCGACCUAUAUGCUGGGCACCCUUACGCUGUAGGCUUGUGCAGGGGCCUGGGUUCAGUUUUGCCCCAGACAAUUUCCUGAGUGUCAUUUCCCCCGACACUCUUUCUCCUGGUUUCCUGUCCACUCUCUGCACUGUACCAUCAAUAA
Molecule: long non-coding RNA, 1143 nt
Organism: Oreochromis niloticus (Nile tilapia)
Lineage: Eukaryota; Metazoa; Chordata; Actinopteri; Cichliformes; Cichlidae
Exons: 3
Source: RefSeq, a predicted model, not a curated record